UUGCAGCUUAUUAAGCCGACUGGUCAUGCUGCUGUGCAUUUCUGGUGUGCAAAAGCUGCAGACAGCAACUCUUUGGUUGUGUAUGUCCUCAGCUGUGAGGUGCUGAGUUCUUUAAGGGACCACUGAGACAAAU
This is a small nucleolar RNA of Phycodurus eques (leafy seadragon), 133 nucleotides long. RefSeq annotates it as small nucleolar RNA SNORA70. Lineage: Eukaryota; Metazoa; Chordata; Actinopteri; Syngnathiformes; Syngnathidae. The record is from RefSeq and is a predicted model, not a curated record. The transcript has a single exon.